This 460-nucleotide ribosomal RNA is filed under the name bacterium V23. RNAcentral's name for it is "bacterial SSU rRNA". It matches the Rfam family "Bacterial small subunit ribosomal RNA", at positions 66 to 572 of the family's 1533-position model. The record is from RNAcentral.
ACGAAGGCUUCGGCCUUAGUGGCGCACGGGUGCGUAACGCGUGGGAAUCUGCCCCUUGGUUCGGAAUAACAGUUGGAAACGACUGCUAAUACCGGAUGAUGACGUAAGUCCAAAGAUUUAUCGCCGAGGGAUGAGCCCGCGUAGGAUUAGGUAGUUGGUGUGGUAAAGGCGCACCAAGCCGACNAUCCUUAGCUGGUCUGAGAGGAUGAUCAGCCACACUGGGACUGAGACACGGCCCAGACUCCUACGGGAGGCAGCAGUGGGGAAUAUUGGACAAUGGGCGAAAGCCUGAUCCAGCAAUGCCGCGUGAGUGAUGAAGGCCUUAGGGUUGUAAAGCUCUUUUACCCGGGAUGAUAAUGACAGUACCGGGAGAAUAAGCUCCGGCUAACUCCGUGCCAGCAGCCGCGGUAAUACNGAGGGAGCUAGCGUUAUUCGGAAUUACUGGGCGUAAAGCGCACGU